This 971-nucleotide long non-coding RNA is filed under the name Bos indicus x Bos taurus (hybrid cattle). RNAcentral's name for it is "lncRNA (ENSBIXG00005021434.1)". Lineage: Eukaryota; Metazoa; Chordata; Mammalia; Artiodactyla; Bovidae. The record is from RNAcentral.
GAAGAAUUAGGCUUCAGAAGGCUGUUCCCAGUUGUGUUACACUUUGACUUCUGUUUCCAGUCGUUAAUAUUCUUACUUUAAUUCUGAGGAAAUUGCAUGAGAUUUUUCCAACUUUUACCUGAGGAAACGAGCCUCAGAGCUCCCCGCUGGGCCUGUUGAAGGUCCCUCCCUGUUCUGGGUCAAGCCCACCUGUAUGGUGUAGCAGACAGAGGUCCUGACUUCAUGCCAGAUAACUUUCUUCCUGGAAUUCUUGCAAUAACAGGGUAGUUUAGUACACUUUUUGUUUGCUGUUUAGGUUUAUUAUGUAGAAAAGAAGCUUGGUAAACCGAGUGGCUGGACAGAACAUUAAGACAGAUGGGUGCCAAUCGUGGCAAAUGUGACCUUUGAGACAGAGGAUAAGAACCGCCAGUUGCAGGAGCGCCUGGAGCUGGUGGAGACGCUGCAGCAGACGCUGCGGAGGGCGGAGACGCUGCCCGAGGUGGAGGCCGAGCUGGCGCAGAAGGUGGCCGCGCUCUCCAAGCACCUCUGCUGUCCGUCCCAGGCGGGAGAGACACGCAACAUCGAGGAGAGGCUGCGCCAGAUGGAGCCCCAACUGGAGGAGAAGAACAAGGAGCUGCAGCGGGCAAGGCAGAGAGAAAAAAAUGAAUGAAGAACACAAUAAACGCUUAUCAGAUACCGUGGAUAAGCUUCUGUCCGAAUCAGAUGAGAAGCUUCAGCUUCAUCUGAAGGAGAGAAUGGCUGCUCUGGAGAAUAAGGCACAGUGCACACAGGAACUUGCUUCUGCCACUAAUGAUGAAGUCAAUCUGAGGGACAGAUAUUUGUAUCCUGGAUGCACCAGGCUCUUCCAUGCAACUGACUGGAGUGGUCUUCUCUUAUUUGUUCCAUCAUGUUUUAAAUAAAAGUAAAUAUACAUAUGGUAAAACAUUUAAAUGGUACAAGAGGAUUUAAAAUAAUCAGUAAAUGUCAUUUUC